CCUACGGGUGGCAGCAGUGAGGAAUAUUGGUCAAUGGCCGAGAGGCUGAACCAGCCAAGUCGCGUGAGGGAAGACGGCCCUACGGGUUGUAAACCUCUUUUGUCGGGGAGCAAAGCGAACCACGUGUGGUUCAUUGAGAGUACCCGAAGAAAAAGCAUCGGCUAACUCCGUGCCAGCAGCCGCGGUAAUACGGAGGAUGCGAGCGUUAUCCGGAUUUAUUGGGUUUAAAGGGUGCGCAGGCGGAGGUGCAAGUCAGCGGGCACAUUGCGGGGCUCAACCCCGUACUGCCGUUGAAACUGCAGCCCUUGCGUGCGCGAGACGUAGGCGGAUUGCGUGGUGUAGCGGUGAAAUGCAUAGAUAUCACGCAGAACUCCGAUUGCGAAGGCAGCAUACCGGCGCGCAACUGACGCUCAUGCACGACAGCGUGGGUAUCGAACAGGAUUAGAUACCCUGGUAGUC
Molecule: ribosomal RNA, 459 nt
Filed under: uncultured bacterium
Lineage: Bacteria
Description: partial 16S ribosomal RNA
Rfam family: Bacterial small subunit ribosomal RNA
Source: RNAcentral